Molecule: ribosomal RNA, 467 nt
Filed under: uncultured bacterium
Lineage: Bacteria
Description: partial 16S ribosomal RNA
Rfam family: Bacterial small subunit ribosomal RNA
Source: RNAcentral
GACGAACGCUGGCGGCAUGCUUAACACAUGCAAGUCGAACGGGAAGGCCUCUUUCGGGGGGUACUCGAGUGGCGAACGGGUGAGUAACACGUGAGUAACCUGCCCUUGACUUUGGGAUCACUUCAGGAAACUGGGGCUAAUGCCGGAUAGGAGCUCCUGCUGCAUGGUGGGGGUUGGAGAGUUUCGGCGGUUGGGGAUGGACUCGCGGCUUAUCAGCUUGUUGGUGGGGUAGUGGCUUACCAAGGCUUUGCCGGGUAGCCGGCCGGAGAGGGUGACCGGCCAGACUGAGACUGAGAGAGAGCCCAGCCACAUACGGGCGGCAGCAGGGGGGAAUAUUGCACAAGGGGUGGAAGAAUGAUGCAGGAACGCCGGGUGCGGGAUGAUGGCCUUCGGGUGGGAAACCGAUUUCGCUUAUGACGAAGCAUUGUGUGACGGUAGCGGGUGAAGAAGCACCGGCUAACUACGUG